UAAGGAAUAUUGCUCAAUGGGAGAAAUCCUGAAGCAGCAACGCCGCGUGGAGGAUGAAGGGUCUAUGACUUGUAAACUCCUGUAAAGAAGGAAAAAAUUCCCAUUUGAUGGGAGAUGAUGGUACUUCUGGAGUAAGCCCCGGCUAACUACGUGCCAGCAGCCGCGGUAAUACGUAGGGGGCAAGCGUUGUCCGGAUUUACUGGGUGUAAAGGGUGCUCAGGCGGAUUUGUAAGUCAGAGGUGAAAUCUUACAGCUUAACUGUGAAACUGCCCUUGAUACUGCAAGCCUAGAGUAUGGAAGAGAGUGAUAGAAUAUCUGGUGUAGCAGUGAAAUGCGUAGAUAUCAGAUAGAACACCAAUGGCGAAGGCAGUCACUUGGUCCAUUACUGACGCUAAAGCACGAAAGCGUGGGUAGCAAACA
Molecule: ribosomal RNA, 420 nt
Filed under: uncultured bacterium
Lineage: Bacteria
Description: bacterial SSU rRNA
Rfam family: Bacterial small subunit ribosomal RNA
Source: RNAcentral